This 450-nucleotide ribosomal RNA is filed under the name uncultured bacterium. Its description in RNAcentral is "partial 16S ribosomal RNA". It matches the Rfam family "Bacterial small subunit ribosomal RNA", at positions 354 to 796 of the family's 1533-position model. The record is from RNAcentral.
GUGGGGAAUAUUCCGCAAUGGACGAAAGUCUGACGGAGCAACGCCGCGUGAGUGAUGAAGGUUUUCGGACUGUAAAGCUCUGUUGUUUAGGACGAAAGUGCCUGUUGCGAAUAGUUACAGGUAUUGACGGUACUGAACGAGGAAGCCACGGCUAACUACGUGCCAGCAGCCGCGGUACUACGUAGGUGGCAAGCGUUGUCCGGAAUUAUUGGGCGUAAAGAGCAUGUAGGCGGGAAACUAAGUCUGUUGUGAAAAUGCGGGGCUCAACCCCGUAUUGCGAUGGAAACUGGGUUUCUUGAGUGCAGGAGAGGAAAGGGGAAUUCCCAGUGUAGCGGUGAAAUGCGUAGAGAUUUGGAAGAACACCAGUGGCGAAGGCGGCUUUCUGGACGGUGUCUGACACUGAGGCGCGAAAGCCAGGGGAGCGAACGGGAUUAGAUACCCUAGUAGUCC